RNA transcript from Phyllostomus discolor (pale spear-nosed bat), 4140 nucleotides. It is a transcript of the gene named vasohibin 2, with no coding region annotated. Lineage: Eukaryota; Metazoa; Chordata; Mammalia; Chiroptera; Phyllostomidae. The transcript is spliced from 10 exons. The record is from RefSeq and is a predicted model, not a curated record.
GUGACUCGGUUAUAUGUCACAGAAUAACAUUCGAGAAUGGGACAUGGAAUGAGGGGACGGCCGCAGCAGCUUCAGCAGCCGCAGCAGCCGCAGCAGCUCUGGUCCCAGGCGCAGCAGCAGCUGCAGCCGCCGCCGCCUUCGCCGCCCGCAGAGGCGCCGCAGCUAUGAGGCCGAGCGUCCGGAGGUGUGCGUGAACCCUUGUGCCAAAAUUCCAGUCGCCUUUCGAGGCACGGCCCGUAAGCGGAGCUCCGGCCGCCGCUCCCCCUUGGCGCGUCCUGCGGCAGCCAGAGGCAUGGAGGAGGCGGGCCCCGCGGGGCGCUGAACCCCGCGCGGCGCCCGCGCGCGCACGCCCCCCGCUGCUGCCGCGCUGCUGCCGCGCGACCCUCAGCCCCGCCCUCCCGGCCCCGGCCCCACCAUGACCGGCUCUGCGGCUGACACUCACCGCUGCCCCCACCCCAAAGGCGCCAAAGGCACCCGGUCCCGGAGCAGCCACGCGCGGCCCGUGAGCCUCGCCACCAGCGGGGGCUCGGAGGAGGAAGACAAAGACGGCGGGGUGCUGUUUCACGUUAACAAGAGCGGCUUUCCCAUCGACAGCCACACCUGGGAGCGCAUGUGGAUGCACGUGGCGAAGGUGCACCCCAAGGGGGGAGAAAUGGUGGGCUCCAUCAGGAAUGCCACCUUCUUGGCAAAGCCUUCCAUACCCCAGGUUCCAAACUACAGGCUGUCGAUGACGAUCCCAGACUGGCUGCAGGCAAUCCAGAACUACAUGAAGACGCUACAAUACAAUCAUACAGGGACCCAGUUCUUUGAAAUUAGGAAAAUGAGACCACUGAGUGGGUUAAUGGAAACAGCGAAAGAAAUGACUCGAGAGUCCUUGCCUAUUAAAUGCCUUGAAGCUGUCAUCCUGGGCAUCUACUUAACCAAUGGACAGCCUUCCAUCGAGCGAUUCCCCAUCAGCUUUAAAACCUACUUCUCAGGAAACUACUUUCACCAUGUUGUGCUGGGGAUCUAUUGCAAUGGCCGCUAUGGCUCGCUGGGCAUGAGCCGAAGGGCGGAGCUGAUGGACAAGCCGCUGACCUUUCGGACUCUGAGUGACCUUAUCUUUGACUUUGAAGACUCCUACAAGAAAUACCUGCACACAGUCAAGAAGGUCAAGAUUGGGCUGUAUGUCCCCCAUGAACCUCAUAGCUUCCAGCCUAUUGAGUGGAAGCAGCUGGUCCUCAAUGUCUCAAAGAUGCUGAGGGCUGACAUAAGGAAGGAGCUGGAGAAAUAUGCCAGGGACAUGAGGAUGAAGAUCCUGAAACCUGCAAGUGCCCAAUCUCCAACCCAAGUAAGAAGCCGAGGAAAAUCCUUGUCCCCCCGAAGGAGACAGGCAAGCCCCCCGAGACGGCUCGGCAGGCGAGACAAGUCGCCAGCUCUGCCGGAGAAGAAGGCGGCCGACCUCAGCACUCUGAACGAAGUGGGCUACCAAAUCCGAAUUUAGGCAAAGCCAUACCAGCCAGCACGAGGGCUUCUGUGGUGCUUCUCUCUGCACUUUACCCAGCGUCUUCAGGGGGAACUGCAACUAUUUAUUGAGAACUCGUGAGUUUUAUUUUUAAAGAUUCACCUGGAAACAGAAUCUGAGUGGGUGGUGACAAUGUAAACAAAAUUCACAAAGGGGAAGCCAAGAAAAGGCUCAAGUCACACCCCCCGCUGGGGCUGGACUGUCUCUCUCCCUCCAGAGAGAAAGGAUAGUACCAUCGGCGUAGUUCUGUAUCUCUCCACUUACCUACAUCCUUUUACUGGCUUUCCACAUCCCCCCUCACCACGAACGUGCUCAUGAAAUCCUCCCCUCCCACUUGAUGUAGUAACUCGGUCAGUAUUAAUGUUUUCUGCAGCAAUAACAGAGGCAAAGAAUGGUGGGUUUUUUUUUAAGCUGUCAAUAUUACCUCAGCAUCUUGACAUCAGAUAUGCAAACUUACUAGUGUUUUGUUUUUUAUAUUCUAUUUGUAUUGCUUCCCCAGUAUUUCCCAUGGGGAUAUCCACAGUUUGGAAUUCUUUCCUGGUGCAUACAUGUGAUGAGAUUUAAGGUAUUAUAUGCAAGUGUUUUGCUAAAAAGCACUGAAAUUCUUCUGGCAAUACGGGAAAUCAUUUUCAGGAGUUCCUUUCUUAAUCUUUCUUAAAGCACCACUGACAGCGGUUUUUGUUCUUUCAAACCAAAACUAAACAAAACAAAAAGCACGUUCAGAAGCUAGUCUACGUUCUGUCAUUCACAUUUAAACUUUGCAGACUCUCGCAAAAAGAAGCGGUCGUGUAGGACUAGAAAAAAUUGACCACUGGGCCUUGAUUCUGAAGGACUCACUGCUGUUAGAGACGUGUUCUGAUGUCUUAUAUUAAGACCGAAUUGGGUGCAAUGUGAUUAUUUUCCGGUACGACUCCGUGGUGUGUAGGAACUGGUAUUGAAGAACGCAGUGAAUUAGAGGAGCAGGGGGCAGGCCGCCUCUGAGCAGUGAAGUCUUCAGGCUGUGUUGCACCUGACAGCGUGACUCAGGCCACGGCGCUUGGGCCACGGUGUUCCACGUGACCGUCUGACCCGCACACACUAGCUCCAGGGACACUUCUGGCUGCAGACCACACAGAAUAACUCUAAUAGCAUCCCAAAUCUGUAUGUGUUCACUAUCAAGAACACAGCUUCUACUCUGUUUUAUCUUAGUAACCAUGGCAACUCAUGAGCCCAAAAGACAUGGACGUGAAGUCUGCUAGUCCACAAAAGUGUUACUUCAGUCUCAGUCUUCCCCUCCGACUCUCUCUGACUGGCGGUGAUUUUAGGAAGGGAUAAAAAAAAUGGGAAUCUGCUCAUUCCAAUUCUGCACCUCUCAGGGUGAGUGACAGCGAAAGGACUGCAUCCAUCCUUUGGCCGUGUGACGUGAACUCAAUCUACCCUAAAAAUCAGUUAUUACUGGAGAGUAUUGGUUUUUUUGGGGGAAAAAAGGAAGUCUAAUGUCUUUUACAUAGACAGGAGCAAGCAAAUACGCACCUCAAUUAGAAUAAAAUAUACCAUGAGUUAAAAAUCCUGAAGUUAAUCACCUGGAGAACAGCAUUAUCAGUCAGCAGUGUUUACAACGAGGUAUCCCUGUGUAUCUGCCCAAGGCAAACCCAUCUGCAGCCCGUGGCCACGUGAAUGUCUAGUGGUGAAUCCUGUCCUUCUCAUGCUGAAAACAGAUCUGUAUCUUCUGUUCAUCAAGCUGAAGCUUUAUUAUACCCAAUAAGAAGACUAUUUAUAACAUUGCAGUCCUCCUAAGAGCUUGGAAUGGGGUUUUCCAAGCAUUACUUUCUGUACUGUCCCAACUAAAAUACAGAAAGUCUAUAGUUGCAUAGCCUCUUGUUUCUCACAAAAAAGGAGGGAAAAGAACAGGAGUACAAAGUGUUUCCAAUAUGCUGACGUGUAAGCCUUAAAGCUGCCGACUGGCUUGAUGACUCAAUUAAGGAAGUAAAUUUCUUCCACACUAACUUCUUGAUUUUAGGAGUCACUUUUCCAAAGCAAGUGUUAGUCACAGAACCAUGCAAAUUCAUUGAAAAUGUUAAUGCUUACGGAAUGUUAAUUUCUAAAAGAUAUGAGAAAGGAACCAAACUCCUAAAUUCUGGUGCAGACAUUUAAUUUUAAUAUUAAGGCAAAACAAAAAAAAUUAUAUGAUUUGUCCCUCAACAUUGAUUUUGAAACUGGCUAUAAUUCAGAAGAUCAAAAAUGAAACUGAAAUGGUUAGAAAUAUAGUUUUGAAAAUGUAAUAAUGCAAGAGAAAUUUUAUGCGCAAGCCAUUAUGGCAAUAUAUGCAAAGUUUAAAUGAAUGACAGAAAUCUUGAUUUUAGACUACAUGUGAGUACACUUUAUUUCAAAAAGUGGUAUUUGCUAUUUUCUAUACACUCUGAAAUCAUGAGCAUUUCACUUUUUCUAAGUCGAUUAUUUCAUAAGGGUUUUAUUAAUAGAUAUUGGUAAAUAGAACUUUGGAAAUCUUAAUUCAGUAUUCUUACUAUACUCAAGGCUUUUGUAAGCUAGUUUUAUGUACAACCUUGUACAGUUUUUUUUGACAUACAAUUCAGAAUCUUGUUUAUUCUCUUGGACUUUGUUCUGGCCAAUACAUUUUUUUAAAUCUUUAAAAAAAA